CGGAGCAACUUUAAUUAAUCCACUCGGAAAAGGUCGCAAACAUGAUCGCUCGAGGAGAUCAUGAACCACGUUCAUCACUGGUAACUGACCUCGACCAAAUAGUUCUAGACCAUCAAAAAUCCCACACCUGAACCUGGUCCUAACUUUUCCAAACCAUCCCAAACUAGAAUGUACCGAAAUCUCGGGUCCAGUAGUAUCCACCACGUUGUGAC
Molecule: long non-coding RNA, 212 nt
Filed under: Brassica napus (rape)
Lineage: Eukaryota; Viridiplantae; Streptophyta; Magnoliopsida; Brassicales; Brassicaceae
Description: long non-coding RNA (BNAP_LNC005363)
Source: RNAcentral